GGUGAAUGUAGCUCAGUUGGUUAGAGCGUCAGAUUGUGGUUCUGAAGGUCGCGGGUUCGAGACCCGUCCUUCACCC
RNAcentral lists this transfer RNA (76 nucleotides) under Bacteroidota bacterium. Its description in RNAcentral is "Bacteroidetes bacterium (freshwater metagenome) tRNA-His". It matches the Rfam family "tRNA". From Rfam's summary of the family: Transfer RNA (tRNA) molecules are approximately 80 nucleotides in length. Their secondary structure includes four short double-helical elements and three loops (D, anti-codon, and T loops). The record is from RNAcentral. Lineage: Bacteria; Pseudomonadati; Bacteroidota.